ACCACCGCGACCCACUCCAGAACCGCUGCCCUCCUCCACCGUUCAGGGAAGUUUAUUUCUUCAUUUUUGUGUUGUUCCAAUCAGGACUUGAUUUUUUGCUAAAUUAGGGCUCAAAUCUAGAAAGAGGCUUCCCCAAAUUGAUCUAUAAAAGGAUUUGAACAUAUUGACGCUAUUAAGUCCAGAUAACUAUUUUCCCUUAUUUCAACAUAGAAAACAGGGUCAGAUUUGGAGAUUUAUCUUCUGCGGAAUUGAUCAGAUAUAUUCUUUUGCAUCUUGUUUGCCUCAUAUUCCCCCCUUAUAAACAUUUUGCCUUCGUUACUUAUUGUUGGCUGGAGAUGAAUAAAUCAAUGACAACUUUCAGAGCAUGUUUUCGUACUAUUUUGACUUCCAUUUCCAUAUAUUUUCCUUUUGUCUACUCAGAGAAUGUAUUGCCAGGAAUUCUGCUGAGCUUUUAUUCAAUAACACAACGAUGUAUUGUAUUGUAUUGCUUUUACUCAAUAUCUUUCUUUUGAAUCUUUGUCAAGGAGAAACUGAACACAAGACAAAAGAAGAUAAUAAUCAGUAUUAGUUCGAGAUAAUUGCCAAGGAGAUUAAGGUACCGAUUCAGCAGAGGAAUUGGGAAAUUUGUGCAUCAGUCCACCCCCACAGUAAACAAUGACGCACAAUCCUAUUGAACCUGCACAAAUUGUGUUACUGAUAGAGGAGAUAAUGCAUGUGUAUUUGAUGGAACUCAUAUGUGUAAUGAAUCUUCUAACUAGGAUGGACAAAAGAAAGAGGAAGCGUACUGAUGAAGUUGAGACAUAUUCUAUGAUUCAAAGAAUCCCUGACCAAGUUAAGCACUUGAAUAGAAUGGUAGGAGUUACUGAUAUUGAUUGCAUUGAAAAUCUUCGCAUGGAUCGUAACACUUUCGGUAGAUUAUGUCUUUUAUUACGACAAUUAGGGGGUUUGAUCAAUAGUUUUGUAGACUCAAGAGCUUGCGGGGCGCAGGAAAGAGAAUGUUACCAUACAAUGGGAGUGCUUCGUGUCAAUUUAGGAUGCUUCGUAUCCUUACAUGCUCCUCAUCAAUUUCUUUGACAUCUCUAAAUUCUCUGUAGUUGAUCAUUUUAUGGUGAAAGACAUCUUAGUGUAAUCAAAUCUGCUAAGUUACAACUUUAGAGUCAUAUGUAGAAAAUGAUCUCAUAUUAUCAUAAUCUCUUAUGGGCAUCUCUGAAUUAGAACUGCAUUUUUCUGUUUUUUGUAUUUUGUUUUCUUGGGGUGUAAUUUUCAUUUCACUGGAUGGUAUAGGUGCUAAACCGGAUUGCUGGACUGGACAGGAAAUCAUGAUUUCCUAAUAGUUUUGAAUAAGUGAAUUUGGGCAUUCUUGAGGUGAACUCGCUCGUGUUGGUACAGGUUCAUUAUUGUGAUUGAGUUUAUCAUCUUGGCGGAUCAAGUAGAUGGGAGUCGAUGAGCUAUGAGGACUACUACAAACGAGAAGGCUGAAGCAGAGAACGUCGUUUCAAAUGUCUAGCAAGUUGCGUGCAUUUGUAAUAUUUUUUAAUUAAACAUCUAGCUAAAUAGAAUAUAUGUGAAGUUUUCAUUAUAUUUGGAUGAUAAUGUAUGAAUAUUUUGGAUGAUAUAUAAUAUUGUUAUUGUUGAUUUUA
This is a long non-coding RNA of Salvia miltiorrhiza (redroot sage), 1640 nucleotides long. RefSeq lists it as uncharacterized. The transcript has 4 exons. NCBI's taxonomy places the organism in Eukaryota, Viridiplantae, Streptophyta, Magnoliopsida, Lamiales, Lamiaceae. The record is from RefSeq and is a predicted model, not a curated record.